RNAcentral lists this ribosomal RNA (392 nucleotides) under Rhizosolenia sp. Its description in RNAcentral is "partial small subunit ribosomal RNA". It matches the Rfam family "Eukaryotic small subunit ribosomal RNA", at positions 582 to 975 of the family's 1831-position model. Lineage: Eukaryota; Bacillariophyta; Coscinodiscophyceae; Rhizosoleniales; Rhizosoleniaceae. The record is from RNAcentral.
AUUCCAGCUCCAAUAGUGUAUAUUAAAGUUGUUGCAGUUAAAAAGCUCGUAGUUGGAUUUCUGGCGGGAGCGAUCGGUCCUUCACUCAGUGUUGGAACCUGAUUGUCUCCUGCCAUCCAUGGAGAAAACUUAUCUGGCAUUAAGUUGUCGGGUAGGCAAUCUCCAUCUUUUACUGUGAAAAAAUUAGAGUGUUCAAAGCAGGCUUAUGCCGUUGAAUAUAUUAGCAUGGAAUAAUAAGAUAGGACCUCGGUUCUAUUUUGUUGGUUUCUAGAGCUGAGGUAAUGAUUAAUAGGGAUAGUUGGGGGCAUUCGUAUUUAACUGUCAGAGGUGAAACUCUUGGAUUUGUUAAAGACGGACUACUGCGAAAGCAUUUGCCAAGGUUGUUUUCAUUA